This 457-nucleotide ribosomal RNA is filed under the name uncultured bacterium. RNAcentral describes it as "bacterial SSU rRNA". It matches the Rfam family "Bacterial small subunit ribosomal RNA", at positions 340 to 786 of the family's 1533-position model. The record is from RNAcentral.
UACGGAAGGCAGCAGUGGGGAAUAUUGCACAAUGGGCGAAAGCCUGAUGCAGCUAUGCCGCGUGUAUGAAGAAGGCCUUAGGGUUGUAAAGUACUUUCAUCGGGGAGGAAAAACAAAACUAAUAAUUUUAUUUCUUGACGUUACCCGAAAAAGAAGCACCGGCUAACUCCGUGCCAGCAGCCGCGGUAAUACGGAGGGUGCUAGCGUUAAUCAGAAUUACUGGGCGUAAAGAGCACGUAGGUGGUUUUUUUAAGUCAGAUGUGAAAUCCCUGGGCUUAACCUAGGAACUGCAUUUUGAAACUGAAAUACUAGAGUAUCGUAGAGGGAGGUAGAAUUCUAGGUGUAGCGGUGAAAUGCGUAGAUAUCUGGAGGAAUACCUGUGGCGAAAGCGGCCUCCUAAACGAAUACUGACACUGAGGUGCGAAAGCGUGGGGAGCGAAACAGGGAUUAGGAUACC